UGCAGAAUCCCGUGAACCAUCGAGUCUUUGAACGCAAGUUGCGCCCUAAGCCAUUUGGCCGAGGGCACGUCUGCCUGGGCGUCAAUC
RNAcentral lists this ribosomal RNA (87 nucleotides) under Oenothera biennis (German evening primrose). Its description in RNAcentral is "partial 5.8S ribosomal RNA". It matches the Rfam family "5.8S ribosomal RNA", at positions 73 to 154 of the family's 154-position model. From Rfam's summary of the family: 5.8S ribosomal RNA (5.8S rRNA) is a component of the large subunit of the eukaryotic ribosome. It is transcribed by RNA polymerase I as part of the 45S precursor that also contains 18S and 28S rRNA. Functionally, it is thought that 5.8S rRNA may be involved in ribosome translocation. The record is from RNAcentral. RNAcentral also lists the same sequence under 1 other name. Lineage: Eukaryota; Viridiplantae; Streptophyta; Magnoliopsida; Myrtales; Onagraceae.